CAAGAACUCGGAACCAUUCGCGCUGCACAACCGACUGCGCCCGAAGGUAUCCAAUCAGGAGCUGUUCACACUGUUUUUCGAGAUGACCCGAGAGAAUGAGGAACCGGAUGUGGAGGUCGUGGCAGCUGUCCGAGGUAUCAACCUCAGGGAGGCGUUGCAGCCGUUGUUUGAGAGGCGAGGCAUUGAUAUGGACGCCGUCGACAUAUUCCUAGAGGCAUCCAACACUCCGCUACCGCUGCAGUUCGACACAUUCCCGCUA
Priapulus caudatus is the source of this 259-nucleotide long non-coding RNA. RefSeq lists it as uncharacterized. The transcript is spliced from 3 exons. The record is from RefSeq and is a predicted model, not a curated record. Lineage: Eukaryota; Metazoa; Priapulida; Priapulimorpha; Priapulimorphida; Priapulidae.